GACGAACGCUGGCGGCGUGCUUAACACAUGCAAGUCGAACGGAAAGGCCCUGCUUUUGUGGGGUGCUCGAUUGGCGAACGGGUGAGUAACACGUGAGUAACCUGCCCUUGACUUUGGGAUAACUUCAGGAAACUGGGGCUAAUACCGGAUAGGAGCUCCUGCUGCAUGGUGGGGGUUGGAAAGUUUCGGCGGUUGGGGAUGGACUCGCGGCUUAUCAGCUUGUUGGUGGGGUAGUGUCUUACCAAGGCUUUGACGGGUAGCCGGCCUGAGAGGGUGACCGGCGACAUUGGGACUGAGAUACGGAGCAGACUCCAACGGGAGGCAGUAGUCGGGAAUAUUGCACAAUGGGCGGAAGUCUGAUGCAGAAACGCCGCGUGCGGGAUGACGGCCUUCGGGUUGUAAACCGCUUUCGCCUGUGACGAAGCGUGAGUGACGGUAAUGGGUAAAGAAGCACCGGCUAACUACGUG
RNAcentral lists this ribosomal RNA (468 nucleotides) under uncultured bacterium. RNAcentral's name for it is "partial 16S ribosomal RNA". It matches the Rfam family "Bacterial small subunit ribosomal RNA", at positions 28 to 507 of the family's 1533-position model. The record is from RNAcentral.